AAACUACCUUCUCUAUUGAUGUUCCGUCACCGUGCCGGAUAUUAUAGAUACGAUCGAGUCCAAACAUUUUUUGCCGGUGUAGUUUAGACACAGUGUAUACUGUAUGUGAAAUCACCUUUUCCGUUCGUCUAACAAAUAUUUUCGUCACACUUUUUUCAGCAACAACAAAAUCAGAAUGACUUCUUAUUUGGUCAGCAGCUGGACAGUGAAGAGUUAUAACAUUUGAGCAUUUUUCAGAUCUGUCAGAUACUUACUUCCUGUUUACCGAUAUUUUUUAUUGUUGGAUGGAUGAGCUCUCGGCACAUUUAAUUGAGGAAGACCGUAAAGCUUCACUACCUGCACAUCCCGAAGUUAAAAGGAUACAAUUAGGAAUUGAAAAUGUAUUGAAAACAAUCUUAGGCUGUAUUGCAGAAAAAGACAAACGACUUAAAGGCAAACUGUUACCAGUAGGUAGCUAUUACACUGACUUAAAAAUUGGUUUUCCAGAUGAAUUUGAUUUUCUCUAUGAGCUUGAAACACUUAUUGAAGGAAACAACUUUGAGAUAAGACCGUCUGGAUUUAGAGAUAACAGAAAUUUAUGGAGAACACCAAAUGGAAAUCCAUUGAAGAAAAAAGUUCAAAUCAAGACACCAGAACAUUACUCUAAAAAGAAUGAGAAAUUGAGUUUUAACUGGUUACAUAAAAUAAAUGGAGGCUAUGUCCUAGAUCCUGUGGGUGUAAAAAACACCCUUUAUGAUGCAGUUCUUCAUGAAGCACAGAACCUUGAAAAAUCAAUGCUUCCUAUGUAUUUGUCUCUUGACGGGAAAGGGGAAGCUACAUUCUUCUACGGUCCAGCUACUACUUUAUUCUUUAUUUGGAAUGGAAGAUUUUAUAAAAAUCUUAAAAUUAGUGUGGAUUUAACAGUAUGCAUUAAAGCAGAGAAAUGGAACAAAUAUUUUGACUUUUUAAGACCAAAUUUCAUGGAUCAAUCUAGCUGCUUAAGAAAAUACUUGAAGAAGAAAUUUGUUGCUAUGGUUACCACCUGGUACCUCAUAUUUCUGAUCGUGGCCAUAUUCAAUGGAAAUUGUCUACUUCUUAUUUGGAAACCAGAGUUUUAUCAAGAUUUCCAAAGAAAUCACCCUUGAAACAAGUAAUAAGAAUCGUUAAAUUUAACAAGGAAAAAUUUCUUAAAGUCCGUCCAGAUCUUAGGAUAAUGAAUGAUAAAAUGUUAGCUGAUGUUCUUCAACUGACAAACUUUUACAGUGGAAAUGAUUAUGACGAAAAUUUUAAAAACUUAGUUUCAUCAUACAUAAUAAAGAAUGUAGUUUUCCACCUGUGCGGAUUUGCUACAUGCAAUGAAUGGACAAAAGCUUCCCUUUCAACACUAUAUCUUUUAACACUCACUACACUCUAUGGAGGUUUUAUGAGAAAUUCAAUCAGAAACUUUUUUAUUUCGCACAACAAUUUAACCAUUCCAAAUCAUGGAGAUGUUUUACCUGGGUUUCAGAAAUUAUUUGGAGAAAUCAACAUUGAAAGUUAUCAAAAAAUGUUUUGUCAACUGGACAUAAAAGAUUUUGAUAUGAAUAUAUUUGAAAGUCAACCAUUUGAUCCAUCGGGACUGAAAACAUUCUUUAAAAUUACUAAAGAUGACAUAGAUACAAAUUAUCAUAUUCUGUGGGAGUCAAACUUGCUAAAGUAACAAAAAUUCAUAUCUUUUCGGGCUGGUUGAUAACUUUUAAAAAAACGUGCAGUUCACAAUUAUUUUGAACAGUAAAAUUCUUACUGCAUUGAAAAAUAUGUUUCACAGUAGCAAAUGGAGGUAAAUACAAGCAUAACAUAAUUCUACUAAGAUGUAUUGUGAACAUGUUGCAUUUUGCCUAUGAUAGUCAAAAAGGGAUUAAUUCACAGUAAAAUCAUUUUAGUUUUUUUGAAUGAAUAUUAAUCAUGAAAAAGCUGAAUCAGGUGCAAAAAUAAGAGGCUUUGUUGAUUAAAAGAAAUUAUUAUUCUU
Molecule: long non-coding RNA, 1987 nt
Organism: Mytilus californianus (California mussel)
Lineage: Eukaryota; Metazoa; Mollusca; Bivalvia; Mytilida; Mytilidae
Exons: 2
Source: RefSeq, a predicted model, not a curated record